CAGGCUUAACACAUGCAAGUCGAGGGGCAGCAUGGUCUUAGCUUGCUAAGGCCGAUGGCGACCGGCGCACGGGUGAGUAACACGUAUCCAACCUGCCGUCUACUCUUGGACAGCCUUCUGAAAGGAAGAUUAAUACAAGAUGGCAUCAUGAGUCCGCAUGUUCACAUGAUUAAAGGUAUUCCGGUAGACGAUGGGGAUGCGUUCCAUUAGAUAGUAGGCGGGGUAACGGCCCACCUAGUCUUCGAUGGAUAGGGGUUCUGAGAGGAAGGUCCCCCACAUUGGAACUGAGACACGGUCCAAACUCCUACGGGAGGCAGCAGUGAGGAAUAUUGGUCAAUGGGCGAGAGCCUGAACCAGCCAAGUAGCGUGAAGGAUGACUGCCCUAUGGGUUGUAAACUUCUUUUAUAAAGGAAUAAAGUCGGGUAUGCAUACCCGUUUGCAUGUACUUUAUGAAUAAGGAUCGGCUAACUCCGUGCCAGCAGCCGCGGUAAUACGGAGGAUCCGAGCGUUAUCCGGAUUUAUUGGGUUUAAAGGGAGCGUAGAUGGAUGUUUAAGUCAGUUGUGAAAGUUUGCGGCUCAACCGUAAAAUUGCAGUUGAUACUGGAUAUCUUGAGUGCAGUUGAGGCAGGCGGAAUUCGUGGUGUAGCGGUGAAAUGCUUAGAUAUCACGAAGAACUCCGAUUGCGAAGGCAGCCUGCUAAGCUGCAACUGACAUUGAGGCUCGAAAGUGUGGGUAUCAAACAGGAUUAGAUACCCUGGUAGUCCACACGGUAAACGAUGAAUACUCGCUGUUUGCGAUAUACAGCAAGCGGCCAAGCGAAAGCGUUAAGUAUUCCACCUGGGGAGUACGCCGGCAACGGUGAAACUCAAAGGAAUUGACGGGGGCCCGCACAAGCGGGGGAACAUGUGGUUUAAUUCGAUGAUACGCGAGGAACCUUACCCGGGCUUAAAUUGCAGAUGAAUUACGGUGAAAGCCGUAAGCCGCAAGGCAUCUGUGAAGGUGCUGCAUGGUUGUCGUCAGCUCGUGCCGUGAGGUGUCGGCUUAAGUGCCAUAACGAGCGCAACCCUUGUUGUCAGUUACUAACAGGUUCCGCUGAGGACUCUGACAAGACUGCCAUCGUAAGAUGUGAGGAAGGUGGGGAUGACGUCAAAUCAGCACGGCCCUUACGUCCGGGGCUACACACGUGUUACAAUGGGGGGUACAGAGGGCCGCUACCACGCGAGUGGAUGCCAAUCCCAAAAACCUCUCUCAGUUCGGACUGGAGUCUGCAACCCGACUCCACGAAGCUGGAUUCGCUAGUAAUCGCGCAUCAGCCACGGCGCGGUGAAUACGUUCCCGGGCCUUGUACACACCGCCCGUCAAGCCAUGGGAGCCGGGGGUACCUGAAGUGCGUAACCGCGAGGAGCGCCCUAGGGUAAAACUGGUGACUGGGGCUAAG
Molecule: ribosomal RNA, 1438 nt
Filed under: uncultured organism
Description: 16S ribosomal RNA
Rfam family: Bacterial small subunit ribosomal RNA
Source: RNAcentral